Molecule: transfer RNA, 482 nt
Filed under: uncultured cyanobacterium
Lineage: Bacteria; Bacillati; Cyanobacteriota
Description: partial contains 16S-23S ribosomal RNA intergenic spacer and 23S ribosomal RNA
Rfam family: tRNA (bases 92-164)
Source: RNAcentral
UUCCUGGGCCAUUAGCUCAGGUGGUUAGAGCGCACCCCUGAUAAGGGUGAGGUCCCUGGUUCAAGUCCAGGAUGGCCCAUAUCUCUAUGUUGGGGGUAUAGCUCAGUUGGUAGAGUGCCUGCUUUGCAAGCAGGAUGUCAGCGGUUCGAGUCCGCUUACCUCCACUGAAUACCACCUCUUACAUAUAUUUAAAGAGGGAAAUUGUUUUGAGUCGUGUCCUAAUUUGCUCUGAGCGAAUCUAGCUUCCUAUUUUAUUCAAUAAAUAAGAUGCUGGACUCAUUGAUUUUUUCAUUAUUUUCAGAGAACCUUGACAACUGCAUAGAUUAUUUUUGAAGACAAUAAGCAUCUCUAAUGAUGCAGAUUUAUUAUUUGUGCGAAUGCAUUAAAUAACAAUUCUAUUAAGCUGAUGCUUCAAUUAUUGAAGUUAUUGGUCAAGCUACAAAGGGCUCACGGAGGAUACCUAGGCACACAGAGGCGAUGAA